GCAAAAGUAGCUCAAUGGCUAGAGCAACGCCCCAAUAAGGUGUCGAUUGCAGGUUCAAUUCCUGUCUUUUGCU
RNAcentral lists this transfer RNA (73 nucleotides) under Caudoviricetes sp. RNAcentral describes it as "tRNA-Ile". It matches the Rfam family "tRNA". From Rfam's summary of the family: Transfer RNA (tRNA) molecules are approximately 80 nucleotides in length. Their secondary structure includes four short double-helical elements and three loops (D, anti-codon, and T loops). Lineage: Duplodnaviria; Heunggongvirae; Uroviricota; Caudoviricetes. The record is from RNAcentral.